Molecule: non-coding RNA, 125 nt
Organism: Brassica napus (rape)
Lineage: Eukaryota; Viridiplantae; Streptophyta; Magnoliopsida; Brassicales; Brassicaceae
Source: Rfam
GGAAUAUAAGAAUUCGUCUCUUAACUUUUAACUAAAAAAGCUAAGAACUGGUUCUUAAAUAAGAUAUUUAAGAACCGGUUCUUAGCUUUUUCAGUUAAAAGUUAAGAAACGAAUUCUUAUGUUCC